RNAcentral lists this ribosomal RNA (526 nucleotides) under Anastrepha haplacantha. RNAcentral's name for it is "partial small subunit ribosomal RNA". The stretch from base 394 to 526 matches the Rfam family "Bacterial large subunit ribosomal RNA", at positions 2473 to 2605 of the family's 2925-position model. The record is from RNAcentral. Lineage: Eukaryota; Metazoa; Arthropoda; Insecta; Diptera; Tephritidae.
AAACAUGUCUUUUUGAAUCAUAUUUAAAGUCUAACCUGCCCACUGAAUUAUUUUGAAUGGCCGCAGUAUUUUGACUGUGCAAAGGUAGCAUAAUCAUUAGUCUUUUAAUUGGAGGCUGGAAUGAACGGUUGGACGAGGUAUAAGCUGUUUCAUAUAAAUUUAUUUUAGAAUUUUAUAUUUUAGUUAAAAAGCUAAAAUUUUAUUAAAAGACGAGAAGACCCUAUAAAUCUUUAUAUUUAGUAAUAUUUAAAUUUUUUGGAUUUAUUUGAUUUUUAUACUAUUAAGUAUUUUGUUGGGGUGAUGUUAAAAUUUAAUGAACUUUUAAUUAAAUAAAUCAUUAAUUUAUGAUUUGUUGAUCCUUUAAUAUUGAUUAUAAGAUUAAGUUACUUUAGGGAUAACAGCGUAAUUUUUUUUGAGAGUUCAUAUCGACAAAAAAGUUUGCGACCUCGAUGUUGGAUUAAGGUAUAGGUUUGGGUGUAGUUGUUCAAAUACUAAGUCUGUUCGACUUUUAAAUUCUUACAUGAUC